RNAcentral lists this ribosomal RNA (253 nucleotides) under uncultured bacterium. Its description in RNAcentral is "partial 16S ribosomal RNA". It matches the Rfam family "Bacterial small subunit ribosomal RNA", at positions 524 to 776 of the family's 1533-position model. The record is from RNAcentral.
UACGGAGGGUGCAAGCGUUAUCCGGAUUCACUGGGUUUAAAGGGAGCGCAGGCGGAUUGGUAAGUCAGUGGUGAAAGGCUUGAGCUUAACUCGGGAGCUGCCAUUGAUACUAUCAGUCUUGAAUAUUGUUGAGGUUUGCGGAAUGGGUCAUGUAGCGGUGAAAUGCAUAGAUAUGACCCGGAACACCUAUUGCGAAGGCAGCAGGCUAAACAAAGAUUGACGCUGAGGCUCGAAAGCGUGGGGAUCAAACAGG